GGUUAAUACCGGAUGCUUGUUUGAACCGCAUGGUUCAAACAUAAAAGGUGGCUUCGGCUACCACUUACAGAUGGACCCGCGGCGCAUUAGAUAAUUGGUGAGGUAACAAUGAUUCUUAGCCGACCUGAGAGGGUGAUCGGCCACACUGGGACUGAAACACGGCCCAAACUCCUACGGGAGGCAACAGUAGGGAAUCUUCCGCUAUGUACGAAAGUCUGACGGAGCAACGCCGCGUGAGUGAUGAGGGUUUUCGGAUCGUAGAGCUCUGUUGUUAGGGAACAACAAGU
Molecule: ribosomal RNA, 287 nt
Filed under: Bacillus amyloliquefaciens
Lineage: Bacteria; Bacillati; Bacillota; Bacilli; Caryophanales; Bacillaceae
Description: partial 16S ribosomal RNA
Rfam family: Bacterial small subunit ribosomal RNA
Source: RNAcentral